Molecule: ribosomal RNA, 385 nt
Filed under: uncultured bacterium
Lineage: Bacteria
Description: partial 16S ribosomal RNA
Rfam family: Bacterial small subunit ribosomal RNA
Source: RNAcentral
CCUACGGGUGACUGCAGUCGAGAAUCUUUCACAAUGGGGGAAACCCUGAUGCUGCGACGCCGCGUGGGGGAAUGAAGGUCUUCGGAUUGUAAACCCCUGUCAUGUGGGAGCAAAUUAAAAAGAUAGUACCACAAGAGGAAGAGACGGCUAACUCUGUGCCAGCAGCCGCGGUCCUACAGAGGGCUCAAGCGUUGUUCGGAAUCACUGGGCGUAAAGCGUGCGUAGGCGGUUUCGUAAGUCGUGUGUGAAAGGCGCGGGCUCAACCCGCGGACGGCACAUGAUACUGCGAGACUAGAGUAAGGGAGAGGGAGGCGGAAUGCGCGGUGUAGCAGUGAAAUGCGUAGAGAUCGGGAGGAACACUGGUGGCGAAGGCGGGUUCCUGGAC